UGACCUUGUGUUUCUAUGCCUGCAGAAACUGAACCAUGACCAUUCUUCCUGUAGGCCACGACCUUUCCCACUGACCCAUCAGCACGCUAAUUUGCCGACCAUGACCCUUAACAUGUAAGCCACUUACAGAUUGGAUUCCCUUCCUGUACUGAUUGUUGUUUCCUCACUAUUGAUUGGUCCUAUAUGGAUCAGUUUCAGAGUGCGACAAUUUAUUCUCAAGAAUUAGGGUUUUAUUCAGGACCACUAAUACAUAAAGUUAAUACAAGACAGAAUAAUGCUGUCUCCAAAAUAUUAUAAUAUCAUUAUUAUUAUCUGCAGUCCAACACUGAGCAGAUUCCUGAAUUUGCACUUUCAAUUGAUAUACUUGAUUGUACAAUUUUAUGAAGGCUAACUUUUAAUUUAAGAUUAAUUUGUGUUUUGAAAUGCAUUCUCCCAAUAAAACAAAAUAUUAUGAGCAACAGCAUGGAGUCAGUCUUAUUCAGGUUGAUCUUCCUCUCCCUCUUUCGCUCUCCAUCACCUCUAAUGGAUAAAUGGUCAAUACAACCAUAAAUAAAUCAGUCAUAUUGAUUUGUAGGCUCCAGUUAUUCUUUCACAGCCGCCACAGACACUGUAACCAAGCAGUCCAUUUAUGCACAGAGGUGAGAGAUGUAUCAGCCAAACAGACACGCAUGUACAUUUGCACUCCUACACACAGGCCCAAGCACACACACGCACGUACGUAUGUGCACACACCCAAACACGACACCACCUUGGCAUGGAGCAGCCCCGUAGAAGACUGUCUGUGUUAAUGCUGAUGCACUGUGGGACUCUCUGAUGUCUGCCUCCUCUCAACCUCUCUAUUCACUCAGAACAAAAGCAACAUUUGGAAAUUGCGAGAUGGAGCGGCUGCAGGCUUGUGUGAUAAUCCAACAACGCAGCCAGCCCCCUUUGUGAAGUCCACCGGGCCACCGAGGACAACUGUGAAGAGCUGACGUUAUGCAUGGUGAAGGGAAGAUAAACUGCUGCCACAGUUGAGAAGUGAAAGACAGUGUGGGAUUGAGGGAGAAUUUAUGAAUGAAUGAUGAUGUACAGAUGGUCCGCGCUGGGUUAAACUGUGGAUCCGUGGUUGAAUAGACACACCAUCCGUCAGCCGGGCGAGUUGCAGAGCAGGUUAUGGGGCAAAGUCUCUGCAUUGAGAUCCAGACCAUUUGCUCACUGCAGACACACACACACACACACACACAAGACAUGCUAAUGGCAGAGCCCCUUCAAGCCAAAACACACAAGGGGACAUUUCAAUGAAAACACGCAAGCUUUACCUCUGAGGACCAGCGUUGUGCCCAAGCCUUGGAGGGUCAGGAGAGAGUACAGCAGGCAGGGGGGAAGGUGGUCUGGUUUCUUGGGUUAGGGGAAGGUGGGUAAGGGUGGGUACGGGGCGGUUGGGGGGGAUCUUACAAACCACCCUGGUCCCUUGUGUGAGGAGUUGUGGACCACAUGUCGGACAGGCCUAGGGAAAAUUAGUUGCGUUUGUAGGGGGAUGUGGUGAUUCCAGGUAACCAAAUGUGUGAGAAGCUAGCGUAACGAGUUUGUGUGUUUAAGAAUGAGAGCGGGAGGCUGAGGGGGGGACAGAGAGGCAGGAGCCCAGGGAGAGAGGAAGAGAGACGGACAUGGAGGGAUGGAGGGGGAUUGGGAGAGUUGGAGAAAAAGAGGGAGAGGGGGAGAGAGAGGGAGGUAAAGAGGGAGGGAGUAGGACCAGAGCGGCUGAACACGGAGGAUGGAUUAAGACAGAGUUAAGCCAGUCAAUAGAGCACAGUGUUGCUGAUCCCAUUAGUCCUGCUGGGGUUAGAAACCAGGAAACCAGCCUCACACAGAGCCUAUACAUUAUGUGGUAAACAUUCUGGCCAGGCUCACACAUACUUUUUACACAGUGGUAAACAUUCUGGCCAGCCUCACACAUACUUUUUACACAGUGGUAAACAUUCUGGCCAGGCUCACACAUACUUUUUACAUUGUGGUAAACAUUCUGGCCAGCCUCACACAUACUUUUUACACAGUGGUAAACAUUCUGGCCAGCCUCACAAAUACUUUUUACACUGUGGUAAACAUUCUGGUCAGCCUCACACAGACUUUUUACAUUGUGGUAAACAUUCUGGCCAGCCUCACAAAUACUUUUUACACUGUGGUAAACAUUCUGGUCAGCCUCAAACAGACUUUUUACAUUGUGGUAAACAUUCUGGCCAGCCUCACACAGACUUUUUACAUUGUGGUAAACAUUCUGGCCAGCCUCACAAAUACUUUUUACACUGUGGUAAACAUUCCGGCCAGCCUAACAGACUUUUUACACUGUGGUGAACAUUCUGAGCAGACUCUUACUCACUUUGAUUAUGCAUAAUUUUAUUUGACUGUCACAAAAAAUAUAUUAAGAUUGUUGUGGCAAAGGGUAUCUGAAGUUUCUAAUGGCUGUUUAAAGAAAACCAAACCAUGGAUUACAGUUUAUCUAGGCCCAUACUGUAAUAUGUUCAGGCGAUGAAGCACCAACUUGUAAAAUAGUGAAUUUACCCUUUAAUAAUAAGCAAAGCAUUUGUGGUGGACAGUGGAGCCUCAAGCAGACAGCAGACCCAUGCAAAUCACAUUAAAGAGGCCAAGUGAUGUGAAAUAAACCUCUGUGGGGGAGUUGAUUCUAUUAGUGUGUUUCUUCCAAAUGGCAUCCUACUCCCUACACAGCGAACCCAGCUACAUAGUUAACAAUAUUCCCUACAUAGCAAACCCUAUUCCUUGGAUGUGGUCACCUUACUCUGAGUCGCCUCAUUCUUGUUAUGUUUGUAGUCCCCACAUCCAUUGUGUUUGUGGUAGCCCCACAAUUUUUUUUUUACUGUGUUCAGAAGAACUUGGCGAAUCAGCAGGUAUCAGCCAUUACGGUAAAUGCUUUACCAGGAUGCGGUCAUUUGCGGGUUUGUUUUGGCCAUGGUAGAGUGCCUGGAAGAGACAACAAACACAUAUACGUUAUUAUUGAACGGUUUGGUAUACAUCAAUCAAAAGGAGAGAGCCGGGGGAAAAACGCAAUAAUUUUUUUUCUUCUGUCAUAUGCACAGAGCACUGAUAUAGUCAAUGCCGUCUGGAGUCAUCAGUGGUUGUUGUAAACAACCAACACGACCAAAUUGUUGAAGCUACAAACUCA
Molecule: long non-coding RNA, 3157 nt
Organism: Esox lucius (northern pike)
Lineage: Eukaryota; Metazoa; Chordata; Actinopteri; Esociformes; Esocidae
Source: Ensembl